CCUACGGGAGGCAGCAGUAGGGAAUAUUGCUCAAUGGGGGAAACCCUGAAGCAGCAACGCCGCGUGGAGGAUGAAGGUUUUCGGAUUGUAAACUCCUUUUGUUAGAGAAGAUAAUGACGGUAUCUAACGAAUAAGCACCGGCUAACUCCGUGCCAGCAGCCGCUGUGAUACGGAGGGUGCAAGCGGUACUCGGAAUCACUGGGCGUAAUGAGCGCGUAGGCGGGAUAGUAAGGUAGAUGUGAAAUCGUAUGGCCUAACCAUAGAACUGCAUUUGAAAAUGUUAUUCUAGAGUAUGGGAGAGGUAGGUGGAAUGCUUGGUGUAGGGGUAAAAUGCGUAGAGAUCAAGAGGAAUACUCAUUGCGAAGGCGACCUGCUGGAACAUAACUGACGCUGAUGCGCGAAAGCGUGGGGAGCAAACAGGAUUAGAUACCCCGGUAGUC
This 440-nucleotide ribosomal RNA is filed under the name uncultured bacterium. Its description in RNAcentral is "partial 16S ribosomal RNA". It matches the Rfam family "Bacterial small subunit ribosomal RNA", at positions 338 to 795 of the family's 1533-position model. The record is from RNAcentral.